Molecule: ribosomal RNA, 501 nt
Filed under: uncultured bacterium
Lineage: Bacteria
Description: partial 16S ribosomal RNA
Rfam family: Bacterial small subunit ribosomal RNA
Source: RNAcentral
AUUGAACGCUGGCGGCAUGCCUUACACAUGCAAGUCGAACGGCAGCACGGGUGCUUGCACCUGGUGGCGAGUGGCGAACGGGUGAGUAAUACAUCGGAACGUACCUUAUCGUGGGGGAUAACGCAGCGAAAGUUGCGCUAAUACCGCAUACGCCCUGAGGGGGAAAGCGGGGGACCGUAAGGCCUCGCGCGAUUAGAGCGGCCGAUGUCUGAUUAGCUUGUUGGUGAGGUAAAAGCUCACCAAGGCGAUGAUCAGUAGCUGGUCUGAGAGGAGGAUCAGCCAAACUGGGACUGAGACACGGCCCAGACUCCUACGGGAGGAAGCAGUUGGGAAUUUUGGACAAUGGGGGCAACCCUGAUCCAGCAAUGCCGCGUGAGUGAAGAAGGCCUUCGGGUUGUAAAGCUCUUUUGUCAGGGAAGAAACAGCAGCUCUAACACAGUCUGCGAAUGACGGUACCUGAAGAAUAAGCACCGGCUAACUACGUGCCAGCCGCCGCCGUAA